RNAcentral lists this ribosomal RNA (454 nucleotides) under uncultured bacterium. Its description in RNAcentral is "partial 16S ribosomal RNA". It matches the Rfam family "Bacterial small subunit ribosomal RNA", at positions 28 to 507 of the family's 1533-position model. The record is from RNAcentral.
GAUGAACGCUGACCGAAUGCUUAACACAUGCAAGUCAACUUGAACUUCGGUUUGGGUGGCGGACGGGUGAGUAACGCGUAAAGAACUUGCCUCACAGUUAGGGACAACAUUUGGAAACGAAUGCUAAUACCUGAUAUUAUGAUUUUAGGGCAUCCUAGAAUUAUGAAAGCUAUAUGCGCUGUGAGAGAGCUUUGCGUCCCAUUAGCUAGUUGGAGAGGUAACGGCUCACCAAGGCGAUGAUGGGUAGCCGGCCUGAGAGGGUGAACGGCCACAAGGGGACUGAGACACGGCCCUUACUCCUACGGGAGGCAGCAGUGGGGAAUAUUGGACAAUGGACCAAGAGUCUGAUCCAGCAAUUCUGUGUGCACGAUGAAGUUUUUCGGAAUGUAAAGUGCUUUCAGUUGGGAAGAAAAAAAUGACGGUACCAACAGAAGAAGUGACGGCUAAAUACGUG